GCUGGGCGUGGUGGUGCGUGCCUGUAGUCCCAUCUACUCGGGAGGCUGAGGUGGGAGGAUCGCUUGAGCCCAGGAGUUCAGGGCUGUAGGCAGAAUGCCGAUGAGGUGUCCGCACCAAGUUCGGCAUCAAUAUGGUGACUUCCAGGAGCAGGGGAACACCAGGUUGCCUCAGGAGGGGUGAACCAACCCAGGCUGGAAACGGAGCAGGUCAAAAUUCCCAUGCUCAUCAGCAGUGGGAUUGCGAUAGCCACUGCACUCCAGCCUGGGCAACAUGUUUCUACUA
Callithrix jacchus (white-tufted-ear marmoset) is the source of this 283-nucleotide unclassified non-coding RNA. It matches the Rfam family "Metazoan signal recognition particle RNA". From Rfam's summary of the family: The signal recognition particle (SRP) is a universally conserved ribonucleoprotein. Lineage: Eukaryota; Metazoa; Chordata; Mammalia; Primates; Cebidae. The record is from Ensembl.